GACGAACGCUGGCGGCGUGCUUAACACAUGCAAGUCGAACGGAAAGGUCCUGCUUAUGUGGGGAGCUCGAGGGGCGAACGGGUGAGUAACACGUGAGUAACCUGCCCCGCACUUUGGGAUAACCUCAGGAAACUGGGGCUAAUACCGGAUAGGAGCUCCUGCUGCAUGGUGGGGGUUGGAAAGUUUCGGCGGUUGGGGAUGGACUCGCGGCUUAUCAGCUUGUUGGUGGGGUAGUGGCUUACCAAGGCCUUGACGGGUAGCCGGCCUGGGAGGGUGAGCGGCCACAUUAGGACUGGGAUACGGCCCGGACUCCUACGGGAGGCGACAGUGGAGAGUAUUGCACUGUGGGCGGAGGCCUGGUGCAGCCACGCCGCGUGCGGGAUGACGGCCUUCGGGUUGUGUACCGCUUUCGCCUGUGACGAGACGUGAGUGACGGUAAUGGAUGAAGAAGCACCGGCUAACUACGUG
This 468-nucleotide ribosomal RNA is filed under the name uncultured bacterium. RNAcentral's name for it is "partial 16S ribosomal RNA". It matches the Rfam family "Bacterial small subunit ribosomal RNA", at positions 28 to 507 of the family's 1533-position model. The record is from RNAcentral.